UUCUUACAAUUUUAUGUGUAUGCUACAGCUACACAAACAACCUCGAACCUACAUCAGGCUACGUCCCUGUAACAUUUCUAUAAACUAAUGUGAAUAAAUUAAAAGUUUAUAAUACUUGGCUAACGAAAGAUUAAGCGACCUUAAUUAUUUUAUAAAUCAAAGAAUGGCAUUAUCAAUUAAAAAAAUAAUAAUAAUUAUAGUUACGGCUGUUACGUAGUGACGUAAUUGUAUUGUCAAUUAGAUUUGAAAAUAUUGAAAAUUAAUCCUACCAAAUCAUAUAUUACAGCCACAUUUUAAUAAAUUAAUAUUUAUUUAAAACCUUUUCUUCGUAAAGAUAUUUUGGUAAAAAGAAUGACAAACCAGCCAAUUAAGGAUAAAGAGUUUUAUUUGAACAGCGGAAAUCUAUUCAGUGAUAAGAUUGGACACAUGACCAGACGCAAAGACUUCCGCGAAUAUCUGGACCGGAAGGGCGUGCUGGACAAGUUCACCGAAAUUUUUAUGGAGCUAUACGAGUGCCCAGUUAUGGAAUUUCCAAACAUCGAAUACAUCAGGAAGAUGAUGGUAAAACCGAAUCCAGACGAAGAAAAAAUAUCGGAAAUCAAAACUAAACUGGUCGAGGCUUAUUCGUUCAGAGAUUAUUUGAAAACUGAAAACGAACAUUUGAGGGCAGUACUCACAGCUAACCAUACUAUGUCUGCGGAGGAGGAAUAAUAUUAUAUGUUACAUCGGCUACGGACUACAGAAAAUCUACAAGUGGUAUCUACUUAAGUAAAGUUAUAUCUAGAUUUUUUUCAAAUUGGUUGAACACCGGAGAACAUUUCCCCCUACUAAAAUCGUUUACAAACAAAAUUAACUGACGUAUCACCUUCACAAUUCAUUAAAAAUAGCAAAUUUAAACUAAGAAAACAAUUAUGUGAAAAGAGAUAAUAAAAUAAAAUAACCACAAAAAACGAA
RNA transcript from Aphis gossypii (cotton aphid), 954 nucleotides. It is a transcript of the gene named c-Myc-binding protein-like, with no coding region annotated. The record is from RefSeq and is a predicted model, not a curated record. The transcript has 4 exons. Lineage: Eukaryota; Metazoa; Arthropoda; Insecta; Hemiptera; Aphididae.